Equus caballus (horse) is the source of this 4314-nucleotide long non-coding RNA. The record is from Ensembl. Lineage: Eukaryota; Metazoa; Chordata; Mammalia; Perissodactyla; Equidae.
UGGUGGGGGGGGAGGCGGGAGGCUGGGGUGGGGGCUGGAUGUGGAGUCCUCCGAGGUCAGGAGGCUGGGCUCCUCCUGUUUGUCCAUAUGCAUUUCUGGCCCCUUCCCCUCCAGCCCUGAGGGAAGCCAUCCCGCAGAGAGGCAGUUCCAGGUGCAGGUGGGCCACCUCCUCGCCCUGCACGUCCUGUCCCCGGGCUGCUGCUCUGCAUGCUGCUGCUGGGGGCUGCCCUCUCCCUGGCCCACCCUGCCGAGGGGCUCGCUGCCAGGCUCUGGGGAGGCAGGAUCUGGUGCCACAGCUGCCGGGCGUCAAGGGCAGCGGGCUGUCCUGGUAAGCAAGGGCUGACAAAGGGCCUUGCAGCAGCAGCACCAGAGGUUGGUGAGGACGAGGUCGGGACCAGAAUGAACGCUCCUCAUGCAUUCAUUUAUCAGAGUCACUGAGUCCCCUUGGCCUGCCCCAGGGCCAGCGCUGGUUGCUGGGGACAGAGAUGUGGACCAGCCCACCUGGGUCCCCUGCCUCCAGGGGGGCAAGCGGGGUAACUAAGACAUGCAUGUGCAAAUCCACAAAAGUGUCACCUCCUCCGAGAAGCCCUCCCUGACCCCCUUCCCUCCUCCCUGACUGAGGUGGCUGUUGCCCCAGUGAAGAGGGAAUCAGACUGCCCAGGUUCAAGCUCUGGCUCCGCCUCUUGCUGGCCAUAGGCCCAGGCGAGUCACUCCACCACCGAGCCCCAGUUUCCUCGUCUGUAACAGAGGGGUAACAAGAUUACAUAUGUCGUAGACUUAUUGUGAGCGUUAAAGGAAAUCCACAGGAUGGCUCCUGGGAGGGAGGAAUACUUUCAGCAGCCACAGACCGGCUUUCAGGAGAGGCACAGUGAGCAGGAACGGCUGGCCCGCAUUCUGGAAGAAAAGGUGGAGCUGGAAACAGAAGCCCCCAGGCUCACCCAGUGGGCAGGGAGCAGAUGUGAAGGACUAGGCCACCCAAGUCACCAGGACACGAUAAAUAGCUGCCCCCUCGUAAAGAGUAUAAAGAGUACCAGGUGACCCGAGACCUCUGGGGUAGAAUUUCUGGCAGGAUUCUGCCUCUAUAAAUAGCCUCGAGACAGGGCGGGCCUGCCCUGUUCCCCAGAGAGGCAGGCGGGCAGGAGCUGCAGGGGCGGUGGUUGCCACGCUGGACAAAGGCCCAGGAGGCUGGGGAGCAGGGGGCGUGCUCGCUGCGGGCCCCUGGGGACAUCUGAUCCAGGCUGGGGCUGUGUCUGCAUCUGGGUGACCUCAGGGCCAAGUGGCUGUCCGUGAGAAUUCCCAGGUGGCUAGACGACAAGGGGCCCCUGCGCUUCCCUGGAGGGCUGGCCUGCGCCAUCGUUGGGGGCUCCCCCAGCCACUUGCCCUUCUCCUUCAGGAAUCUCAGGGCUUCCAGGGAUCCCUAACACAGCUCCUCCAGGUCCUGCAGGAUUCAGGUUAAAGGUCUUUGCUGAGAAGCCGCAGAGUGAACCUGAACUUUGCACCAUAUGGAGCGAGGAGGCUGCUGUUGGACUGUCUCCAGGGUCAUCAGAGAUGCCCGGGGUGACCACCUGGUCCAGGCAGGACCGCGGGGCCCAUCGAUAUUCAAGGGGCCGCCUCACCCAGGAAGUUACACAUCCCCACAGUGGGACAGCCAGUGGUCAGCGACUGACCGACAAAGGAUACAAAAGAUCAGCUGCCAUGGCAAUUGUUCCAGGCUGAUGAUACUGUUCUGCAUCUUGACAGAAGGUCAGAGAGUGCGGCCUGGGGAAGUCCCAACCCCAUCAAAAUGACAACACCCUAAAUGAGUUCUAUGAAGGAGACUUAGCCAGCGGGGCUCAGACUGGACCCCGCCCUGGGGUGUUUAUUCAGCUAAAAAUAUGAAUUGGGCUCACAUAGCGCCUGCCUGGUUCACUUUGGGAGUGGCGUCCACCUGCAGCCUGACACUUCCCAGACCAGAGCCAGUGUCUGCACUCACCUGAGCUCGGUGGCCAGGCCAGCUGGGCAGAGCCACGCUCACCUGUACAUGUCGGGGGAAGAAGCAGCUGAUCUCAAGGCUGAUGUUCUGAAAGGAGAGGUGGUCUUGCAAGAAGAUGUGGAAGAAGUUGGUAGAUAGGAUUUGGGGGCAGAUGUCGUUCUCACCGUAGGAUGGGGACACGGUGGUGGUGGUCGCUGCCUUGUUCUCGGGCACGUUGUCUGUCAGCCCACUGUCCAUAGAGUGUGGGAGUAAGGAACCAGCCCAGGGAAAUUGGAGAUGGGCUUGUGUGCUCUGAAGGCCCUUGGAAGCCCUGGAUUGCUGCCCGCGGGCGUCACUAAGGGACAUCAAUAAGACACAUCAAUGACGUUGGAGGCAGACUGGGAUGCCAGGGUGAUUUUCCAGCUGGACACCCUGGUGAGGGAGGCGGCCAUCUCACUAGAGAGAGCGGCUUGUGAGUGUUGGCUGGGCCGUGUCGUUCAGGAUGUCUCUAAGGACCACACUGAUUUAAAGGAAGGGCGGGGUUCCCCAAAGCUUGUCCUCCGAGCAAAUCUCCCAAGGUCCACAAGGAUCCUAAAAAGAGAGCCUGGGGAGAGACGGGCCCAAAUGCUGCUCAGGGUUUCCAUGACGACUCACUUUCCUUUUUCAAAAUAUUUUAAUUGUCGAAGCCAUAGAAUCAGGAGGGAAACUUUCAAAAACUGAGGGUAAAUCAGCAACGACGUUGCACCUUUGCCCCUGACUUUAAAGCUCAGCCUGGCCUCAAAGCUUUGUGUCUGGGGGCAAGUGCCCUGCCUCAGUUUCCCCUCCUGUAAAAUUGGGAUGACAGCGCCCACUACUCAGGACUCUCACGAGGGUCGAAGAUCGCACGUGACACAGGAGCUGCAGGCAUGGUCUGCUCUCAGCUUUCGGGGUACACAGAGGAGCUGAGUCCAUGCCUCCUCCGUUGCCUGCUUCCCCCCCACUCAGCAGCACCCCCACAGCCCUGCCACUAUCUGGUCCUCACCAUUAUCAGUGUUGGUUGAAUUGUCGAUGCAUCUUCUGUGGUCUCUUUGCUAGUCAGCUUCUCCAUCAACCAACGGUCUAGCUGCUCUUAUGUCUCACACAUUUUGGAAAACACAGCACCCACUUUGUUAUGUGUACUUAGCCAUGUGUCUUGGAUAUUAUUCUGGGCUAUUUCUUACUUAUUUUCCAAGGGCUUGUAGGGGGGACCUAAUCACACAUCGGGGCCCGCCUGUCGCCCCGUGGUCUCAGAAUCACGUCCAUGGCGUAUUGUAGACGGAGAAGGAAGGGUGAGGAACAGCAGGAGAGCAGACGUGGAUGCAUGUACAUGCUCAUGCUUGGGCAGAGUCUCCACAUGGAUGCGAAGGCUCAGGCCCCAGCAGGUGUCCCCGGGACAGCUGGCAGCUGGGGCGCGGGGAGGGUGACCUCUUAAACGUUGCAGCCCUCUUUGCACGUUUCUUUUAUUUCUUUAACUCUAAGCCUGUGCUGCUGUUUCAGUUGAGAGCUCCUAGCUCCGGCCUCACAGCCGCCCUCUCCAUGCCGCCUCCUCCUGCUGAAGGGCUGGAGGGAAAAUGCUUCCACGGAGCCCUGCCCGGCAGAGCCAGUCCCUCAACCUCUCUGUAAAAUGGGGGAGGUUGCAACAAUAGUACCCAUGUCAGAGGGCUAAAUGGUGGAGGGAUUAAAUGAGAAAAUGCGUGGAAAGUGUUUUUCACAUGGAGGGCACUCAGUCUACGCAAGCUAUUUUUAUCUGACCUUAAAUUCCCCUUCUGUGAACGGAGCAUUUUGAAGCUCGAUGCCUCCAUAGGGACAUUUGGAGACAGAAAAGCAGGAGUGGAAGAGAAAGCCGAGCGCAGCGGAGGGAUGCUACAUAAAGACGACGGUGACCGUGGACAGAGGUUUCCCUCCUGUGCCAGGCAUAUCUGUCACCCGGAGCUUCUCACCUAGUUUUGCAAUAACCACAUGGGGUGUGGUGUCACGUCCACUUCACAGGUGAGGAAUCAAGCAUCUUGCCCAAGACCUGACAGGUAACAAGUGGCAGAGGUAGAACGCCCUGAGGCUGGCAACUUCCUUGCGCUACCAUAGAAAGAGGGUCCCUAUUUAUUUCCCCUGGAUGUCCCCAAACAAAGGCGUGACAUUCCAAGAGAGCCACUCCCCUCUUCUGGCCAAGAGCCAUGGCUGUGAACCACUGAGGAGUGGAAGGGAGUCCCUGGCACCAUCCUUUGCCCCCUCACAUGCCCACCUCUCCCUCCCCACCCCAUCCAGCAGGCCCCGGCCUUGCCCUGGGUCAGGCUCCUCCUCUUGCUGAGGGUCUCCCUGCUCAGAGCAUCGUGCCUGCCUCCCCAUCA